RNAcentral lists this ribosomal RNA (484 nucleotides) under uncultured bacterium. RNAcentral's name for it is "partial 16S ribosomal RNA". It matches the Rfam family "Bacterial small subunit ribosomal RNA", at positions 30 to 507 of the family's 1533-position model. The record is from RNAcentral.
AUUGAACGCUGGCGGCAGGCCUAACACAUGCAAGUCGAGCGGAUGAAGGGAGCUUGCUCCUGGAUUCAGCGGCGGACGGGUGAGUAAUGCCUAGGAAUCUGCCUGGUAGUGGGGGAUAACGUCCGGAAACGGGCGCUAAUACCGCAUACGUCCUGAGGGAGAAAGUGGGGGAUCUUCGGACCUCACGCUAUCAGAUGAGCCUAGGUCGGAUUAGCUAGUUGGUGGGGUAAAGGCCUACCAAGGCGACGAUCCGUAACUGGUCUGAGAGGAUGAUCAGUCACACUGGAACUGAGACACGGUCCAGACUCCUACGGGAGGCAGCAGUGGGGAAUAUUGGACAAUGGGCGAAAGCCUGAUCCAGCCAUGCCGGGUGUGUGAAGAAGGUCUUCGGAUUGUAAAGCACUUUAAGUUGGGAGGAAGGGCAGUAAGUUAAUACCUUGCUGUUUUGACGGUACCAACAGAAUAAGCACCGGCUAACUUCGUG